RNAcentral lists this non-coding RNA (29 nucleotides) under Rattus norvegicus (Norway rat). Lineage: Eukaryota; Metazoa; Chordata; Mammalia; Rodentia; Muridae. The record is from RNAcentral.
UCCCAAAAUUUGAGGGCCUGAGUUCAAAU